ACUCCUACGGGAGGCAGCAGUGGGGAAUAUUGCACAAUGGGGGAAACCCUGAUGCAGCCAUGCCGCGUGUGUGAAGAAGGCCUUCGGGUUGUAAAGCACUUUCUAGUAGGGAGGAAGGUAGUGUAGUUAACACCUGCAUUAUUUGACGUUACCUACAGAAGAAGCACCGGCUAACUCCGUGCCAGCAGCCGCGGUAAUACGGAGGGUGCGAGCGUUAAUCGGAAUUACUGGGCGUAAAGCGCAUGCAGGCGGCCUGUUAAGUCAGAUGUGAAAGCCCGGGGCUUAACCUCGGAAUUGCAUUUGAAACUGGCAGGCUAGAGUCUUGUAGAGGGGUUAGAAUUUCAGGUGUAGCGUGAAAUGCGUAGAGAUCUGAAGGAAUACCAGUGGCGAAGGCGGCCCCUGGACAAAGACUGACGCUCAGAUGCGAAAGCGUGGGAGCAAACAGGAUUAGAUACCCCUGGUAGACUGUCA
This 471-nucleotide ribosomal RNA is filed under the name uncultured bacterium. Its description in RNAcentral is "bacterial SSU rRNA". It matches the Rfam family "Bacterial small subunit ribosomal RNA", at positions 335 to 802 of the family's 1533-position model. The record is from RNAcentral.